AAAGGUCAAGCAGGCAGACNUCAAUUUUCUGCCACGAAUACAUUAGCAUGGNCAUAAUGGAAUAGGACCCUGUCCUCCUAUUUUCAGUUGGUUUUGGCAGCGCGAGGACUAGGGUAAUGAUUAAUAGGGAUAGUUGGGGGCAUUAAUAUUUAAUUGUCAGAGGUGAAAUUCUUGGAUUUAUGAAAGAUUAACUUCUGCGAAAGCAUCUGCCAAGGAUGUUUUCAUUAAUCAAGAACGAAAGUUAGGGGAUCGAAGACGAUCAGAUACCGUCGUAGUCUUAACCAUAAACGAUGCCGACCAGCGAUUAGGAGACGUUGAAUACAAAACACCACCAUCGGCGCGGUCGUCCUUGGCGUCUCGGGUCCUUCAGCGGGGGCCNGGGCGCGGGGUGCGGCCUUAGUCGCGCGGCUGGCUGCCGUGAUGAUCCUGACUUCCCCUAUGG
Molecule: ribosomal RNA, 442 nt
Filed under: Acanthamoeba sp. ICL2/T4
Lineage: Eukaryota; Discosea; Longamoebia; Acanthamoebidae
Description: bacterial SSU rRNA
Rfam family: Eukaryotic small subunit ribosomal RNA (bases 1-366)
Source: RNAcentral